UUCAUCUGUUUGCAAACCAGGUUAUUACUGACCUGUGAGUGUGUGCUUGCAGGUGCUUGAGUUCACGUAGAGAUCAACUUUCUUUCAUAGAUGUAGUUCCUGGCUGUGAGACAUAUUGGCUGAAGACUCAGCAGUGUCAAUGUAAGCAACCAAAAGGAUUAUUACACUAAGAACAAUUUGGGAAAAUACAGUCCUUGGGAAUUCCAGGCUGCAUCCAUGAUCUAACCCUAAUAACAACAGCUCCUUGGUAUUCUCUGUUGUCGCAGGCAGCUGACCUGAAGGGUUCACCAUGAGAAAGGCUGGACCAAAAUGGCAGCUCAGGACUCUACUCAGAGACCAGAUGUUCUUAUAGGGCCAACUCCUGUUUUCUUCGGCAGAAAUAAGGAAACAGUUUACUCUCCCACCAAACUUUGGCCAGUGCCAUCGACAGAGCAUAAGUACAUCUGGCUUCCCCUCUCUUCAACUAGUAAGUAUGAGUUAGAGUUUCGCUCAGCAAAUGGUCAGGUGCGGAAGUGCCUGGCACAUUGUAUAUGUUUGCUCCUUUUGUCUUUACAUGGCCACCUAACAUUCUCC
This 573-nucleotide long non-coding RNA is filed under the name Fukomys damarensis (Damara mole-rat). Its description in RNAcentral is "lncRNA (ENSFDAG00000021570.1)". The record is from RNAcentral. Lineage: Eukaryota; Metazoa; Chordata; Mammalia; Rodentia; Bathyergidae.